Molecule: unclassified non-coding RNA, 382 nt
Filed under: fungal sp.
Lineage: Eukaryota; Fungi
Description: partial internal transcribed spacer region
Rfam family: Eukaryotic small subunit ribosomal RNA (bases 1-46)
Source: RNAcentral
AAGUCGUAACAAGGUUUCCGUAGGUGAACCUGCGGAAGGAUCAUUAACACGUAUCCAAACGUUAAAACCCCCAACCUUCAUCCUGCUCUUGUAACCCGCGUAGUUUGCAAUCUCUGAUAAAUCAUAGCCCGGAAAGUUGUAGUUAUUCAGAGUACGUGCGAACAUUGGAACAGUUACAAUCGAGCGGUUGUUCUAGAGGCAAUGUUUCCCCAAGCACUCAGUGUCGGAAAGUGUCAUUGAUUGUGUAGACCUUACACUCGGGCAGGAGCUUUGCCAAAAGGUCCCCAUGCCCCCUAAUAACCCCACAGUCUAAUGUGAAGCUCAAUGUAAUACAUUGGGUAAAAAAACCGAACAACUGUUAACAAUGGAUAUCUUGGUUCUC